CUUUGGGGAUUCAUUUGGAGUCCCAUAGAAUUCCUUUGUCUCUAAGUAAGCAAAAUCUCAUAUAGGAUGAUGUCAUUAUGCAGGUGAAGGCAGGUACAGGACAGAACGAGGCCUAUCAUUGGACGAGAAGGAAGGAUGGGUGGGAGAAAAGUUUUAGAGGAAGAGACUGGAGAGAGGAGAGAAGCAGCCAAAAGAACACAAAGGCGGAUGUUAAGAUUUCUCUCUGCACAUUUACAGUGAAACAGCAAUUCAUCUGUGACAGCCUCCCUAUUAGCUGGUCAAUCCUGGCACCUCUACAGAAGGAGGAUUAACUGGCCUCUUGCUAUAGCUAUGGAUGCUUCUAGAUGCGUGCACAGGAUGGACUUGUGGGGAUCAGGAGACACUGCUUCAGGAAAGGGAUUGCAGAAGUUGACAUCAGAUCUCCUGAGACUGGAGUAACGAACUACUUUGAGCUGCCACAUGGACGCUGGGAAUUGAACCUGGAUCCUCCCCAAACACAUCAAGUGCUCUUACUACUAAUCCAUCUCUCCACCCUCCAUGUUGCAAGGUUUUCUGCAAAUAUAAACCAUUACUGUUUAAAAGGUUAA
This is a non-coding RNA of Rattus norvegicus (Norway rat), 587 nucleotides long. Lineage: Eukaryota; Metazoa; Chordata; Mammalia; Rodentia; Muridae. The record is from RefSeq and is a predicted model, not a curated record.